RNAcentral lists this transfer RNA (72 nucleotides) under Stegodyphus mimosarum. It matches the Rfam family "tRNA". From Rfam's summary of the family: Transfer RNA (tRNA) molecules are approximately 80 nucleotides in length. Their secondary structure includes four short double-helical elements and three loops (D, anti-codon, and T loops). The record is from Rfam by way of RNAcentral. Lineage: Eukaryota; Metazoa; Arthropoda; Arachnida; Araneae; Eresidae.
GCCUUCGUGGUGUAAUGGUUAGCACACUAGUUGCGUAUUCGAGAGGUCCAGAUUCGAGUCCUGGCGAGGACA